RNAcentral lists this ribosomal RNA (1512 nucleotides) under metagenome. RNAcentral describes it as "bacterial SSU rRNA". It matches the Rfam family "Bacterial small subunit ribosomal RNA". The record is from RNAcentral.
AGAGUUUGAUCCUGGCUCAGAAUGAACGCUGGCGGCGUGCUUAACACAUGCAAGUCGAGCGAGAAAGUUCCUUCGGGAAUGAGUACAGCGGCAGACGGGUGAGUAACGCGUGAGAAUCUGCCCUUUAGUGAGGAAUACCCCCGAGAAAUCGGGAAUAAUGCUGCAUACGUCUAUCGUGAAAACGAUGGAGAAAGAUGGCCUCUUUGCUGUCGCUAAGGGAUGAGCUUGCGUACUAUUAGCUAGUUGGUGAGGUAAAGGCUCACCAAGGCGAAGAUGGUUAACCGGCCUGAGAGGGUGUACGGUCACACUGGAACUUAGACACGGUCCAGACUCCUACGGGAGGCAGCAGUGAGGAAUAUUGCGCAAUGGACGAAAGUCUGACGCAGCGACGCCGCGUGGAGGAUGAAGGUUUUCGGAUUGUAAACUCCUGUUAAGUGGGAAGAAAUCCCCGGUUCUAAUACAGCCGGGGAAUGACGGUACCAUUAGAGAAAGCACCGGCUAACUUCGUGCCAGCAGCCGCGGUAAUACGAGGGGUGCGAGCGUUAUUCGGAAUCAUUGGGCGUAAAGGGUGCGUAGGCGGCAAAUUAAGUCAGCUGUUAAAUUUCCUGGCCUAACCAGGAACAUGCGGUCGAUACUGAUAUGCUAGAGGAUGGAAGAGAGAAGUGGAAUUCUCGGAGUAGCGGUAAAAUGCGUAGAUCUCGAGAGGAACACCGAUGGCGAAGGCAGCUUCUUGGUCCAUAUCUGACGCUGAGUGCACGAAAGCGUGGGGAGCAAACAGGAUUAGAUACCCUGUAGUCCACGCCGUAAACGAUGAUCACUAGACGUUAGUUCUGCUCUGCAGGAUUAGUGUCGUAGCUAACGCGUUAAGUGAUCCGCCUGGGGACUACGGUCGCAAGAUUAAAACUUAAAGAAAUUGACGGGGGCCCGCACAAGCGGUGGAACAUGUGGUUUAAUUCGACACUACGCGAGAAGCCUUACCUAGGCUUGACAUGUUUUUGACAGUCGUAGAAAUACGAUCUUCUUAGCGAAAGCUAAGACAAUUUCACAGGUGCUGCAUGGCUGUCGUCAGCUCGUGUCGUGAGAUGUUUGGUUAAGUCCUCCAACGAGCGCAACUCUUGCCGCUAGUUGCAAUCCUUUAAUUAGGAGCACUCUAGUGGGACUGCCCGGGAAACCGGGAGGAAGGUGGGAAUGACGUCAAGUCCUCAUGGCCCUUAUGCCUAGGGCAACACACGUGUUACAAUGGCCGAUACAGAGGGCUGCAAUACCGUAAGGUGGAGCUAAUCCCAGAAAGUCGGUCUAAGUUCGGAUUGAGGUCUGCAAUUCGACCUCAUGAAGCUGAAAUCGCUAGUAAUCGCGCAUCAGCAGUGGCGCGGUGAAUACGUUCUCGGGCCUUGUACACACCGCCCGUCAAGCCAUGAAAGCUGUCUGUACCCAAAACUGUCUUAGCCAACUCGUAAGAGAGGCGGGCAACUAAGGUAUGGGGAGUGAUUGGGGCUAAGUCGUAACAAGGUA